ACUUCCUACGGGCGGCUAAAGGCGGUGCAUGAACUGAACGUAGGCGGCCUCUUUAUCCCCUCCCCACAACACUGUGGGGUGGCACGUAAAGACCUCAAGGGAAGGGGGCCUGGGCGAUACGCUCUCCUGCUGCCAUUCAUUUGUUCAAGAAAUAGUUGAACAAAUGAAUAGUUAAACAAACUCUCCAACUAGGACUCUGUCCCAUUCGGAUACCCUACGCCUCUCCCCCCAUUUCCAUCCCUAGGCAUCACUCCCUCGUCAAGAAUAUGCUGAUUAUGGCUCGCGCCCCCUCUCUCCCUUGGACCCUCCCGCCAGGGCGACCGGACGAGGCCAGCGGGAGCAACGCCUUCCGAACCGCAAGGAAGGAGGGCUCGGAGUGCGCAGGGCGCGGGUUCGCGGGACCCUCCAGCGCGCGGGGCUGGCCAGCCGGGGCGGGGCCGAGGGCACCGGGCGCCGAGCUCCGGGAGGGGUCCCCGAGGUCGCGCCGGCCGGGAGGGGCAGCGGCGGGAGGCGGCCGACUGCGGCGCACACGUGGGGAGGGCGGAGCGGGGCGGGAGCCGGGCGAGGGGCGGUGACGGUACCUGAUGAAGGUGGUCUUGCCGGUGCUGUACUGGCCCACCAGCAGGAUCAUGGGCUUGUUCUCGAAGUCGGCGUCCUCCAGCGCAGGCGAGUGGAACUCGUGGAAGCGGUACGCCUCCUCCAGCGGCAGCACCUUGCGCAGGUAGAGCGAGCGCAGCCCGCCCGUCACCGUCUGCACCGCGUCCGCGCCGCCAGCGCGUUCGCGCCCGCCCGCCUGCCGCCCCAUCCAGCUGAACAUCCUGCCGCCAGUCCACGCUCGGAUGGGACCCUGCUCCGGGUUCGACUCUCCCCGGCUCGCACUGAGCCGCCCCGGCCGCGCUGGCCGCCGCCCGAGGAGGGCCCCGCCUUGUGCUGCCACAGCCAGUCUUCGGCCGCUACGUCACGCGCGCUCGCCCACUAUUCAGACGAGCUCUCUCAGGUCCUUCCUGAUUGGAUCUCUGCCAGAGAGGGCUGAAGGCGUCAGCCAAUUGAGAGGAGGUUCUUAAUGAAUUAUUGAUGACGGAGUCAUUCUAGAGGACUGGGCGGGGAGAUGGUGUCUUCCCGGCCGGGUGGCACUGACCGGUCAUGCUCAGGGCCCCCUUCUGGUUGCCGGUGCCUCACCUCUGGCCAGGUGGCAUCGGCUUCCGGGUAAAUCUGAGCUGCCCAAAGCGAGCCUCCGGAGGCUGCUCCAUCUCCUGGAACGUUUACUCAUUCAGGCCUCUGGACGUCGAUACUGGGGAUGAAAAGUUCAGAAAGUGGACAGAUUCCUGGUCUUCAGUCCAGACCUACUGAGUUAAAAUAUUGAGGAGAGAUGGAGCUCAACAGAUGCCCUAGGUGACUCUGAUGUGGCCUAAGUCUGGGGAAACAGUACACCCUGCAGUACUUCUCCAACCUAACAGAAAUGCGGAUUCUGAUUCGCAAUGUUUCCUGAAAUAUACCUGAGCUUGGAACAGCAUGGAUCUGUACGAGCUGGUGCCCCACUAGUUGAUGACAUGGCUUCAUGAAAACAGAGGAGCACCUCACCACUAGAAGAGACCCUUGCAGUAGGAAACAAAGCUGCAUGAGAAAAGGUCUUCCUCCAGCUGCAGCACCUGCUUCAGGGCCUUGGCCACCACGACCUUCCGCUUCUGCAGAAACUCCAGCUCUGCUGGGCACAGGCUGAAGCCCAGCCGCACGUCCAGUGUCUCAGGGCUGGAGGGAGAGAGGACCCUGUAUUGGGCCUGCAGCCUCUACCUCCCUGGAGUAGACACAGCUUCAGGGUCCAUUGGACCUAGGCUCAAAGCCUACUUCUGCCAGCGACCACUUCUGUGACCUUGGGUCUCCACUUUCCCAUCUGUAAAGUGGGGCGAAUCGUGCUGAACUCUCAGCACUGUCUUCAGCACUUAAAGAGAUAACAAAUGCAAAGCCCCCAAAGCCUUAGCUGGCACAAUGCGAGCUGGUACUCAACAAAAGAUAACUGUUGGCACUGUGUUAGGGACGCUUUGAGUCCUCUGUCUCCUCGGCCAGAUCUGGAAAGUCCAGAAAGUCUUCCCCCAGGUGGCUUCUCUAGCCCAGGGCCAGGCAUGGGUGACAAAAGGCGCUGAGAUCAUUUUGCCAAAUCCCUCUGAACAAGGCCCCACGGUAUGGACUCUUCUGUGCUAGGUAAACAAACUCCCUGUUCCUAUGGAGCUCACGUUCUUCAAUGAGCUCUUCCUGCUCCUAGAAUAACAAUUAUUCUGUGUGUGUGUGCAAUUGACAAAAACCAUCCCAUUCCUGAUCUCAUUGUGUCACCUCAUAGUCUGCAGGCAGGUGGGGCAGGCACCUCUGUGACAUGCACAAUGCUUGUCCUCUUUUUUUUUUUUAAUCACAUCCCUGCCCCAAACAAGUCCAGGCUCCUGGCCUGGCAUCCAAGACCCUGCCUGAUCUUUCCAAGCUCACCUCAAACUACCCGCGAAACUUCUGGGUCAGGUCCCAGAGCUCCCAGAAGCAGUCCUGUUUCCGGGUCUUGGCACAGGCCCCUGCCUUCACCAGAAGUGUCUUCCCUUUGCCCACCUCCAGCCUGUGCAUCCUCUGAGGCCCAGCUCCCCAGUGACUCCAGAUGAAUGUACCUUGACCAUUUCCAACUGAGCCUUGGCUCACUGACAAAGCCACAUCUCCUUGAAGGCUGGGCCUAGGAGAUUUCCAUCAUGUCUCCUCUUUGUCCAGCACAGGGCUGCAGACAUGGCUGUUAGAAAAUAAUUCUUUCUUUGGCCUCAACAGGGAAUGAAUAAUAAUAAUACAACAACAAUAAUAACAAUAACAUUAGCUGACGUUUGCUGAGCAUCCCACUUGCCAGAUGGAUUACUGAGUACUUCGCACGUGCUGUCUAGCUGGAUCCUCAGAGCAACCCAGUGAUGCACAGGAUCCUUGUUAUUCUCCCAAUGUACAGAUGAGGAAAACAGAGACUCAGUAAGGGCAAAGAGCUUUUCCAAGGGCAAAUAGCUAAUCAAACUGUCAAUAGAAAUCAUGGCCACUUGAUUUCUGACAAUCAAGAUUUCUGAAAACGAUGUUGUUUUCAGCAGAUGGUGCUGAGACAUCUGGAUAUCCACAUGCCAAAGAACGAGGUUGAGCCCCUCUUUUACACCAUGUAGAUUGAUUACCUAAAAAUUGAUCAUAGACCUAAAUGUGAGAGCUAAAACUAAACAAGUCUUAGAAAAAAACAUGGGAAUAUAUUUUCAGGACUUUGGUCGGGCGCGGUGGCGCACGCUUGUAAUCCCAGCACUUUGGGAAGCCGAGGAGGGUGGAUCACUUGAGGUCAGGAGUUCGAGACCAGCUGGCCAAUACGGUGAAACCCCGUCUCUACUGAAAAUACAAAAAUUAGCCAGGUGUAGAGGUGUGCAUCUGUAAUCCCAGCUACUGGGGAGGCUGAGGCAGGAGAAUCGCUUAACCCAGGAGACAGAGGUUGCAGUGAGCUGAGAUCACACCACUGCACUCCAGCCUGGGCGACAGUGAGACUCCAUUUCAAAAUAAAAUAAAAUAAAAUAAAAUAAAAUAAAAAUUUCAGGACA
Molecule: long non-coding RNA, 3584 nt
Filed under: Homo sapiens (human)
Lineage: Eukaryota; Metazoa; Chordata; Mammalia; Primates; Hominidae
Description: HSALNT0381009
Source: RNAcentral